This 147-nucleotide unclassified non-coding RNA is filed under the name Pseudoramichloridium brasilianum. Its description in RNAcentral is "sequence contains ITS2". Lineage: Eukaryota; Fungi; Ascomycota; Dothideomycetes; Capnodiales. The record is from RNAcentral.
CACCACUCAAGCCUGGCUUGGUGUUGGGCGAGGGGCCUGCGCCCCCGCCCCCAAAUCGUCGGCUGGACGGUUCGAUUCUCAGCGUUGUGGUUUCAUCAAUUCGCUGCGGGAGACGACCGGACGCGCCGUUAAAACCCCUUCAUCACA